AUUGAACGCUGGCGGCAUGCCUUACACAUGCAAGUCGAACGGCAGCACGGGGGCAACCCUGGUGGCGAGUGGCGAACGGGUGAGUAACAUAUCGGAACAUACCCUAGAGUGGGGAUAACGUAGCGAAAGUUACGCUAAUACCGCAUACGAUCUAAGGAUGAAAGUGGGGGAUCUUCGGACCUCAUGCUCAUGGAGUGGCCGAUAUCUGAUUAGCUAGUUGGUGAGGUAAAGGCUCACCAAGGCGACGAUCAGUAGCUGGUUUGAGAGAACGACCAGCCACACUGGAACUGAGACACGGUCCAGACUCCUACGGAGGCAGCAGUGGGGAAUUUUGGACAAUGGGGGCAACCCUGAUCCAGCAAUGCCGCGUGAGUGAAGAAGGCC
This 384-nucleotide ribosomal RNA is filed under the name uncultured bacterium. RNAcentral describes it as "bacterial SSU rRNA". It matches the Rfam family "Bacterial small subunit ribosomal RNA", at positions 30 to 416 of the family's 1533-position model. The record is from RNAcentral.